Molecule: ribosomal RNA, 253 nt
Filed under: uncultured bacterium
Lineage: Bacteria
Description: partial 16S ribosomal RNA
Rfam family: Bacterial small subunit ribosomal RNA
Source: RNAcentral
UACGUAGGGGGCGAGCGUUGUCCGGAAUUACUGGGCGUAAAGGGUGCGUAGGCGGGCUGUCAAGUCUGAUGUGAAAACUCGGGGCUUAACCCCGAGGUUGCAUUGGAAACUGUAUAUCUUGAGUUCAGGAGAGGAGAGCGGAAUUCCUGGUGUAGCGGUGGAAUGCGUAGAUAUCAGGAAGAACACCAGUGGCGAAGGCGGCUUCCUGGCCUGUAACUGACGCUGAGGCGCGAAAGCGUGGGGAGCAAACAGG